CUACGUGCCAGCAGCCGCGGUAAUACGUAGGUCCCGAGCGUUGUCCGGAUUUAUUGGGCGUAAAGCGAGCGCAGGCGGUUAGAUAAGUCUGAAGUUAAAGGCUGUGGCUCAACCAUAGUUCGCUUUGGAAACUGUCAAACUUGAGUGCAGAAGGGGAGAGUGGAAUUCCAUGUGUAGCGGUGAAAUGCGUAGAUAUAUGGAGGAACACCGGUGGCGAAAGCGGCUCUCUGGUCUGUAACUGACGCUGAGGCUCGAAAGCGUGGGGAGCGAACAGGAUUAGAUACCCUGGUAGUCCACGCCGUAAACGAUGAGUGCUAGGUGUUGGAUCCUUUCCGGGAUUCAGUGCCGCAGCUAACGCAUUAAGCACUCCGCCUGGGGAGUACGACCGCAAGGUUGAAACCCAAAGGAAUUGACGGGGGCCCGCACAAGCGGUGGAGCAUGUGGUUUAAUUCGAAGCAACGCGAAGAACCUUACCAGGUCUUGACAUCCCGAUGCUAUUUCUAGAGAUAGAAAGUU
RNAcentral lists this ribosomal RNA (516 nucleotides) under uncultured bacterium. RNAcentral describes it as "bacterial SSU rRNA". It matches the Rfam family "Bacterial small subunit ribosomal RNA", at positions 501 to 1015 of the family's 1533-position model. The record is from RNAcentral.